Molecule: non-coding RNA, 21 nt
Filed under: Caenorhabditis elegans
Lineage: Eukaryota; Metazoa; Nematoda; Chromadorea; Rhabditida; Rhabditidae
Source: RNAcentral
UCCGCAUCUCCAUCAGGAAGU